This 301-nucleotide ribosomal RNA is filed under the name uncultured bacterium. Its description in RNAcentral is "partial 16S ribosomal RNA". It matches the Rfam family "Bacterial small subunit ribosomal RNA", at positions 509 to 807 of the family's 1533-position model. The record is from RNAcentral.
CAGUCGCCGCGGGAAUACGUAGGGUGCGAGCGUUAAUCGGAAUUACUGGGCGUAAAGCGUGCGCAGGCGGUUUGUUAAGACAGAUGUGAAAUCCCCGGGCUCAACCUGGGAACUGCAUUUGUGACUGGCAAGCUAGAGUGUGGCAGAGGGGGGUGGAAUUCCGCGUGUAGCGGUGAAAUGCGUAGAGAUCGGGAGGAACAUCAGUGGCGAAGGCGGCCAUCUGGGACAACACUGACGCUGAGGCACGAAAGCGUGGGGAGCAAACAGGAUUAGAUACCCCCGUAGUCCCUGUCUCUUAUAC